ACAAGACCUGGCAGGGGAGACACCAUGAUCAAGAAGGUGGUUCACCCAUCACACUCCGGCUGUGCUGACCCCUGCGAAUUCCCCAAAUGUAGGAAUCUCGACUGCAUAAUUAAUGGAAUUGGGAGACUGCGUUCGUGCUCUCCCU
Molecule: small nuclear RNA, 145 nt
Organism: Sinocyclocheilus anshuiensis
Lineage: Eukaryota; Metazoa; Chordata; Actinopteri; Cypriniformes; Cyprinidae
Gene: U1
Rfam family: U1 spliceosomal RNA
About the family: U1 is a small nuclear RNA (snRNA) component of the spliceosome (involved in pre-mRNA splicing). Its 5' end forms complementary base pairs with the 5' splice junction, thus defining the 5' donor site of an intron.
Source: Ensembl